CCAAUCACAGAGCCGUUGAUAGCUACGCCCUCGCGACAUAUGUUGUGUUACUUGUUAAAGAAAGUGAAGAGAAGCUCCAACAUGGAGAUUAACAUUACAACACCAGCUACAAAUCAAAAAAAAAUUGAAGACCAACUCUUUAAAAUGGAUUCUUACUCGCGAGUGGAACGGUUAGCAGGCUCGGCUGCUCGAUUGUAGUUGGAUGCACUUACUUCCAAAAACCAGAAGUUGUAUAUACAUGUUGCAUAGUCUCCCUCCUCCGACCACUGAUUUGGUCAUGAAUGAAUUCAGGGCUAUAGACACACAUGGCAUGCUGUAGUGGUGAUGGGGGAAGAGUUCAAUGGUGGUGUUGGCUCAUAUCAACCCCCCGAGGCUGGUGGCCAAAUCAGAGGUGGAGAUGGGGAUGCUCAAACACCUCUCUGUGACCUGACAAACCUCCUCUCCCCAUGGUUGAGGGAGCAAGCUGGUGCAGUCCAUAAAAGGAGAAGCUGUGAAGCACCUCCAGAUUUCUUGGCCAUCCACCUCCAGCCCCCUGUUCUACCCCCUGCACCCCCUUCCCCUGCCGUCUCUCUGGUCCCAGAAUAGAGGAGGGGUAUACACUGACAAUGACAAUCCCACGUGCAGCUCACCAGCAGAACCCCCCCCCCCUGCUUACCUGAAAACAUGAUGCACUUACAGCACAGGUGACACGUAAGCCCUGUAGCAC
Scophthalmus maximus (turbot) is the source of this 706-nucleotide long non-coding RNA. RefSeq lists it as uncharacterized. The transcript is spliced from 3 exons. NCBI's taxonomy places the organism in Eukaryota, Metazoa, Chordata, Actinopteri, Pleuronectiformes, Scophthalmidae. The record is from RefSeq and is a predicted model, not a curated record.